Oncorhynchus tshawytscha (Chinook salmon) is the source of this 314-nucleotide long non-coding RNA. The record is from Ensembl. Lineage: Eukaryota; Metazoa; Chordata; Actinopteri; Salmoniformes; Salmonidae.
UGAUAUAUGACCUAUAACCCUGGUCCUGAGGGGUCUAGUGGACAUUCCAUCCAGGGACCACCGGUAAGAUAUGAUAUAUGACCUAUAACCCUGGUCCUCAAGGGUCUAGUGGACAUUCCAUCCAGGGACCACCGGUAAGAUAUGAUAUAUGACCUAUAACCCUGGUCCUGAGGGGCCUAGUGGACAUUCCAUCCAGGGACCACCGGGUGGUGAUGGUGAAAAGGGAGAAAAGGGAGAUGUUGGUUUACCAGGACCUCAGGGUGUUGGUGGAUCUCCUGGCGGAUCAGGAAGAGAUGGACCAGUUGGACAGAGGG